Molecule: long non-coding RNA, 3910 nt
Filed under: Nicotiana tabacum (common tobacco)
Lineage: Eukaryota; Viridiplantae; Streptophyta; Magnoliopsida; Solanales; Solanaceae
Description: long non-coding RNA (NTAB_LNC018442)
Source: RNAcentral
ACAUAUAGGGUGGAAUAGAUGAGAUAAGCCAUAUUAAUGGAAGGAGAAUCUAGCUUUCUUAGCCGUUGGAGAAGAAGCAAAAAAACAUAGUGACAUACAAGAUAGGAUAAGUACCAACUUUUCUGUAUGUUUCCACUUGACAGCUUAUAUUAGUUGUUAAUUGCCUCUGCAUAGUUGUUGCAAUCUUAUUUAAUCGUUGCACGUUGUUUCUCCACUUUUUCCUCCACCCUCCCCUCGUCUUGACUUUUCAUUUGAUGUUUAUUUGACUUUCAUGCAUCUAUAGUGCUUGACUGAAAAGUUGUAAAAUACUUUUAAAGCAAAUCAAUCAAAAGAGAUAGAAGGGAUAAAUUAUAGUCGAUCCUAAUUGAUGAUGGAUCAAAAAAUAAAAUUGAAACAUGGAAGUAAUAGACAGAAAUAAUAAUUGGGGAGUUUUAUUGAUCAUAGAAAUUUGCCCUGCCUCUCCUUAGAGAGGUUCAGGGAAUUACAAUCAUAUUGCCCCUCAUGGAUAGUCGAAAAAUGGAUCUCCCCUUGCCCGUAGGUUCAAGGUUCUAUUCAUGGAGUUUCACUCUCCCUUUUUCGGGUUGUCUUUGUAGUGGAGAAGAAGGCUAAGGCCGGAGCCCCUUUUCAGCUCUCUUACCUUGUAUUUAUAGUUGAAAGGAAAACCUCUAAAUUUUCUACGAUGGUCGUGGUCAUGUAGGAGAGAUGUUCUUUCGUCGUGGGGAGGCCUUGGCCUCGUUGCUUGUAUUGGAAAUGACAAUAAUGAAUUGGAGUCGAGUCGGUUGACUACUCUCACGAAUUGAUUAGGACGGGGUCGUUACCGUCAUAGUCAUAUGGUCAGAUUUUGACCAAUACAGUUAGUCCCUCUGUUCGUCGGGUCGUGCCUUGCCGACCUCGGCAGACGGAUCGUGUGUGUGACACGGUCGAGGGGAGUUAGAUUCGCCUUUUAUUCCUUAGUCGCGUUAUGACUUUUCAAAAUUUCCCGGGGGCGUCUUUCUGGUAUUCGUGUACCGUCACGACGGUUUCGAAGCUGAAGCGUCGGUUGGUAAACAAAACGUCACUUCGUGCAGACAGUCAUAAUGGCGCACGUUUCCGAUAAGUUGAACCGUUUCGCGCUCGGUCAGGUUCUAAUGGCGACUAUUGGGUUUCGUGCUUGAAGAAUUUAUGUCUUAUAAAUUGAAGAAAUCGGUCACUUGCUUUUCACAUUUCACCGCUCAUCUUCGAGAGAAUUUCCAGGAUAUCUUCCUUUCUGCUAAUUUGAGUCCUUUCUUUACUCCCUUGCUUGCGAUAAUUUUCAAUUUUUGUACCUCUUCCGCAAAGUUCUUUCUUCUCCUUUUUUGUGGGUCUAAGAUGGCAGGAACUUUUUCCCGUGAUAAUCUUUCGGCUACCCCUCCGGCAGUUAAGAACCCUGCUCCAGCAAUCGGAGACACAAAACCGAUAGAGAGCGAAGAUGUUCCUUCAGAAGAGGAGAUAUUAUCCCGCCCGGGGAGAGCAGUGAUAGAUUGCGGUGUCGAUAGCAGCGAGGAGCAGAUGGAUAUUCCUCCCCCCAUAGGGGAUGUCGGGAUAGCGGAUUUACGGGAACGGUGGGUCAUUCCCAAUUACGUUGAGAUGGUACCGGCAGGUAGAGAUGACAGGGUCCAAAUCGACCGCCUCGGGUUCUGCAUGUUCUAUGCUUACCCCUUCCUCGUGGGAUACACGCUCCCACUUCCCAUGUUGGUGGUUGACUUCUGCCGUUAUUACAAGGUGUGUCCUGCCUAACUCUCUCCUUAUCUGUACAAGUUGUUCCUCAUGUUUAUCAAGUACGUGGAGUUAGCCGGUCGCGAGGUCACUCUGAGGCACGUGCUCAGCCUAUCGCUCCCCAGAAAAUUCGCGGCACAAUGAUCCAUGCGCGCCCUCGAGGGUCAAAAGGCUUAGUGGUAAAGAUGGAUGAUAGGACCAAUCGUCGCUUCUUUGAAAACUUCUUCUAUGUGCGGACCGAGCACCUGGUGGCGGAUCCAACCAGAUUUCCCGAAGUGUGGAAUUUUGCCCGUAAGUCUGUCCCUGAUUAGCGAAAUACCUGUUUUGUCCUUGUCCUUUUUAUAUCUUAUAUCGUAAAUGUUGAUCUCCUUCGUCGUCUUGCAGCCGAGAAGCUACCCCCGCCUCCUUUGGAGGGGAUUAGAGAAUGGGUCGAGGUUGUCCUUCCUCAUACCGCAAGGGUUCGCACGUGGGCAACAUUUUAUGAGAGAUAUGGGCGUAGGGCCCUUACGGGUGAGAUAGCGCCCUUAUUUUCUACCCGUCUUUUUUUCGUUUUAAUCUUAUCUUUUGAAUAUUUGUUUGUCGUGAACAGGGAGAGUUCGCAGAGUCAGGGCUCCUCAGCUAGCCUUCCGUCGGCCAGCUGCAUCGGCUUGCCUCAGCGCGGUACCUGCUGCUCGUUUCUCAUCGAGGGCCGCCUCGGUCGAGUCCACGGCCUUAGCUACUCCGACUCGGGCGGCCUCCCAGGACGAGGUUCCCUCUGGUGUUGUACGUCCUCAGGAUGACUCACCGUCAACCGGGGAGGAAGAAGGACCAUCGAAGAGACGGAGAGUGGGGUUCGAGGUGGCGCCCCCGACUGUGAUCAAUUUGGAUUCUCCUCCGACGGGCCCAGAGGAAAAUAUUGUUGCACUGUCUUCCACAAGGGUGGAGCGGGUAGUUGAUGUUGAUGCUGGCGUUUAGAGCCAGGAAAAUGUAGUCGUUAUGGCGGUUCAAUCUGACGUUCCUGUUGCGGAUAAUACGGGACGUCCUGCUGGAGUUGAUAACCCAUCCCUUAGCACUGUCGUGGUGACCUCAAGCGCGCCUUUUUCAUCUGUGGUGGGUCGUGUUCCCCCCUCGGCGGCUGAGAGAGGGAAGAGUGUAGUGGUUGAUGAAUACGAGUCUGAAUCCGACGUGGACCCUGAUGAUGUUUGGAUGUUUGAGGAGGACAUUACCCACUCAAUGGUACGUGCGGGAGGGGCGGCCCGUAUGAUCGAGAUUCCCUUCGAUUUGAACCUUUUGGUGCAGGGGGACAACUUGGUGCCGCAACUCAGCCUGCUGUGUUCGGAGGCCGUGAAUGGGUCUCUGCGGAACAUCCCAAACGCCGAAGUGAGGGAUGAAGUGGCUGUGAUGGGUUUGCGGGUAUGUCAUCUCGGAUUUUGGUUUGUUUUUUUUUCUUUGUCGCAAAAGUGCAUUGUUUUGACUACUUUCACUCUUUUCCUUUUUCAGACGUACCUGUUGGAGAUGGAGAACAUCCGUAGGGCCAAUAUCAGGUCGAGGAUCUUUUUGCAGAUGUUGGGGAAGUACCGUCGCUACCGCAAUAGGUGCCGCGAGUUGCACGAGAGGUUGAGGACGGACCCUCGCAAUCGAGCUCUAGGCGAGGAACUGGAGAGGAGGGAUCGCGAGCUAAUGCAGACGAUCCGCACUAAGAGCGAGCUUGAAGAUCAACUUCGCCUUAAGGACGAGGAGCUCGAGCUGGGAAAGGGGGUUGCCGCCGAAUGCGAGCACUUGCAGGGCCAGCUGAGGGAGACACAGUUGGAGGUGGAUCGGCGUCGGGGCCAGUUCGAGGAGGCGAGCGCCGAAUGGAGGAGGAAGCUUUCUGCGAUGGCGGGCAGGGUCGCCGACUUGGAGCGUAUUGAGAGAGCUUGGUCUGAGGCCUUAUCGAGGGCAGCGACUCUGGAAGAGACUAUCCGUGUACUCCAGUCCCAGUAAGAAACGGAGAGGGGGACUAAUAAGUUAGGAUUUUAACGUGUUUUAUGUCCCUACUUGCCUAUGGUUUGGGUGUAAAUUGCCGCAUAAUAGUCCCAAAAUGCUCACAGGUUGUGCUUGUUUGCAGGUUUGAUCGACAAAGUGACGAAAUGUCGAAGAUCGGCUCAAAAAGAAGUGAAACCUGCUCAAGUAUCAAAGAUAAAAAAGGAGUGAAACC